UUUGCCCCAAGAUUACAAUCGAAUGCCACCGCAAGUUGGGUACCGGUUUGGCCUCUUCUAUUUUGUUCCUCUCCCAAGUCCCGACUCCCUUCGCGAGCGGCUUCCCCUGUCCACGCCAGACGCCGCCUUCCACCUAGGGUUCGCCGGCGGGCUCCCAACUCCGACCACCUUCCACCUCCGGUGAGUACCCCGCGCUCCCCACGUCCGCCGCCUCCAACAUCUCCCCUGGAUUCGACCUCAACUCGUCCCCAUGCAGGGCAACAGGAAGGGAGGCAAGGACGACGACGAUGACACCACGGGCCUCCGCAUCAACAACGCCAUCACCUCUCCCUUCGUCAGGCUCGUCCGAGAUGAAGGCCACAGUGUUGUCCCCAGGCAUGAAGCUCUGCAGCUAGCUGCCAGGAUGGGCAUGGACUUUAGUUGAGGUCGACAGAAAAUCAGACCCUCCUGUAUGUAAAAUCAUGGAUUUUCACAAAGAGAAGUAUAAAAAAGACACCAAGGAGAAAGAGCGUUUGAAAACCAAGGUAUUCUACACUUGUAGUGAAUUUUCUAUCUAUUUUUCAGCGAUAGGGAUUAGAACUGUACAUCAAUACAACUGUACUUUCAAUCAUGGGCAUCCAAGUUGUGCAACGAAUACAGUUUUAUUAUCAAAUGUAAACUCAUGUUAGUUGGCUAUUCUCUUGUAAUUCCCACUCUUGUAAUGUAUUAAUCAGAUCUUUACAAUACACAGAUAAAUUCUGAAUUUUCAUGAAAGCAGUUACAUCUUUUAGAUGGAUUGCUGUACAUAUACGUGUCCAUGUCAAUAGGAUAGGCACAAAUUGUUCUGUAAGGGGUGUGAUCACAAGCUAGGUACAUUCCUGAUCAAAAUGUGAAAACAGCCAGAAUUACUGGGUAUUCUUUUUUAGGUCUGCCAUCUCUUAACUUCUGCGGCAUUGAGGCUCUUAACUAUUAAGCAUUUAAGCUUGGAUCUAUGCAAAAGUGUUAACCAUAUUAUCUCCUACUGUAGUAAUUGUAUUUUUGCAUAGCUUAUGUCAUAGUGUACUUUGGAUCUUGUUGUGUACUUUGGAUCUAUGCCUGAUUUUUGCAGUCUGCUAUUGUCUUACGUGGUGGGGAGAACAAAGAAGUGCGAUAAGGGGAAAACAGUAUGUAAUUUUUUGCUUUUAUUAUUUAGGUUUCAGAUAUAGUGUGGCAUGCAGACUUUAUUAAUAAUGCCACAUAACUGGAGUAUAGGCUUGUUUGGACUGCUGUAAGCUUAUGUUCUGUUUAUUUGGAUCUAUAUGGACAAUUACACCCAAUGCCUAGUUGAACUUGAUCUACUUUUCUGGGGCAAAUUUCAAACAGUUCAACGGUUUUAUACAUUGUAAUCAUUAUGGAAACCUUGUGGCAUGCAUCUUUACGGACAAGAACUAACUUUUACGUGCAGGAACUAAAAGAUUUGAUGGUGAAAGCAGAUGCAAUUACCAGAUUAAUGGAGCGGGGUUACAGGGUGAAGAUAAAUACUACCUUGUGGACUCCGGUUAUCCAAACCGAAUUGGAUACCUUGCACCUUUUAAGGGGACUACAUACCAUAUUCUAGAAUUUUGUCAUCGUCGUGGACGUCCACCGCAAGGGAAGCAUGAGCUAUUUAACUUUUUACACUCCUCCCUCCGUAAUGUAAUUGAGCGAGCAUUUGGGGUUCUUAAGCAAAAAUGACGCAUGUUGAAAGCCAUGCCUAGUUUCUUAGCUCGACUACAGGCAAAAAUCAUUAUGGCUUGUUUUGCAUUGCACAAUUUCAUUCGAGACAGCUAGUUGCAUGAUAAGGACUUUGAAAGGUGUGACACAAAUGACGAAUAUAUGCCUGGAGCAUCAAAUGAUGAGGAUGUAACUGGAGAUGUUGACGAGGUAGAGGAAUGGAAUGAGGUUACCAUGAACAUCAUUCGUGAUAGGAUAGCUACCACACUAGCUAAUGCGAGAGCGACAUAGGAUAAUCAUCUAGUUGUCUUGUCUUUUGAGAUGAACAAUGCACUUAUUUAUAUAUGUAAUAUAUAAUUUCGUGAUAAACAUGUCAUCAAUGCAAAGUUCACAUCACUA
Panicum hallii is the source of this 2070-nucleotide long non-coding RNA. RefSeq lists it as uncharacterized. The transcript has 4 exons. The record is from RefSeq and is a predicted model, not a curated record. NCBI's taxonomy places the organism in Eukaryota, Viridiplantae, Streptophyta, Magnoliopsida, Poales, Poaceae.